UGGGGGAUAUUGCACAAUGGGCGAAAGCCUGAUGCAGCGACGCCGCGUGGGGGAUGAAGGCCUUCGGGUUGUAAACUUCUUUUGCUCUGAACAAGGCAUGCUAAUGGGUGUGUUGAGUGUAGGGGUUGAUUAGCGCCGGCUAACUACGUGCCAGCAGCCGCGGUAAUACGUAGGGCGCGAGCGUUGUCCGGAAUUAUUGGGCGUAAAGGGCUUGUAGGUGGCUGGUUGCGUCUGUCGUGAAAGCUCAUGGCUUAACUGUGGGUUUGCGGUGGGUACGGGCUGGCUUGAGUGCAGGAGGGGAGGCUGGAAUUCCUGGUGUAGCGGUGGAAUGCGCAGAUAUCAGGAGGAAUACCGGUGGCGAAGGCGGGUCUCUGGGCUGUUACUGACACUGAGGAGCGAAAGCAUGGGGAGCGAACAGG
This 419-nucleotide ribosomal RNA is filed under the name bacterium. RNAcentral's name for it is "partial 16S ribosomal RNA". It matches the Rfam family "Bacterial small subunit ribosomal RNA", at positions 355 to 776 of the family's 1533-position model. The record is from RNAcentral.